Molecule: ribosomal RNA, 500 nt
Filed under: uncultured bacterium
Lineage: Bacteria
Description: bacterial SSU rRNA
Rfam family: Bacterial small subunit ribosomal RNA
Source: RNAcentral
GAUGAACGCUAGCGAUAGGCCUAACACAUGCAAGUCGAGGGGCAUCACAUGAGGCAGCAAUGCCGAUGGUGGCGACCGGCGCACGGGUGAGUAACACGUAUGCAACCUGCCUUCAACAAGGGGAUAACCCGUUGAAAAACGGACUAAUACCCUAUAAUACAGGGGUCCCGCAUGGGGAUAUUUGUUAAAGAUUGAUCGGUUGAAGAUGGGCAUGCGUUCCAUUAGCUGGUUGGUGAGGUAACGGCUCACCAAGGCAACGAUGGAUAGGGGAACUGAGAGGUUUAUCCCCCACACUGGUACUGAGACACGGACCAGACUCCUACGGGAGGCAGCAGUGAGGAAUAUUGGUCAAUGGACGCAAGUCUGAACCAGCCACGUCGCGUGAAGGAAGACGGCCCUACGGGUUGUAAACUUCUUUUAUACGGGAAUAAAUGCCCCACGCGUGGGGUUUUGCAUGUACCGUAUGAAUAAGGAUCGGCUAACUCCGUGCCAGCAGCCGC